UCCGUGUUGACCACGGCAGUCUCUUAUGAGUCCCCGGCAUUACCCGCUGGCAACAUAAGACAAGGGUUGCGCUCGUUGCGGGACUUAACCCAACAUCUCACGACACGAGCUGACGACAGCCAUGCACCACCUAUCGCAGACCCCGAAGGACACCACAUCUCUGUGGCUUUUCCUGCGUAGUUCAAUCUAGGUAAGGUUUUUCGCGUUGCAUCGAAUUAAGCAACAUGCUCCGCUGCUUGUGCGGGUCCCCGUCAAUUCCUUUGAGUUUUAGCCUUGCGGCCGUACUCCCCAGGCGGGAUACUUAAUGCGUUAGCGACGACGCGGAAGAAGUUGGUUAUCUCCCACAUCUAGUAUCCACCGUUUACGGCGUGGACUAC
This 377-nucleotide unclassified non-coding RNA is filed under the name uncultured Acidimicrobiia bacterium. RNAcentral describes it as "contains 16S-23S intergenic spacer region". The record is from RNAcentral. Lineage: Bacteria; Bacillati; Actinomycetota; Acidimicrobiia.